RNAcentral lists this ribosomal RNA (433 nucleotides) under uncultured bacterium. RNAcentral's name for it is "partial 16S ribosomal RNA". It matches the Rfam family "Bacterial small subunit ribosomal RNA", at positions 29 to 507 of the family's 1533-position model. The record is from RNAcentral.
AACGAACGCUGGCGGCAGGCCUAACACAUGCAAGUCGAGCGCGCCCUUCGGGGUGAGCGGCGGACGGGUGAGUAACGCGUGGGAACGUGCCCUUCUCUGCGGAAUAGCCUCGGGAAACUGAGAGUAAUACCGCAUACGCCCUUUGGGGGAAAGAUUUAUCGGAGAAGGAUCGGCCCGCGUUGGAUUAGGUAGUUGGUGGGGUAAUGGCCCACCAAGCCGACGAUCCAUAGCUGGUUUGAGAGGAUGAUCAGCCACACUGGGACUGAGACACGGCCCAGACUCCUACGGGAGGCAGCAGUGGGGAAUCUUAGACAAUGGGAGCAACCCUGAUCUAGCCAUGCCGCGUGAGUGAUGAAGGCCUUAGGGUUGUAAAGCUCUUUCAGCUGGGAAGAUAAUGACGGUACCAGCAGAAGAAGCCCCGGCUAACUCCGUG